Molecule: long non-coding RNA, 4371 nt
Organism: Equus quagga
Lineage: Eukaryota; Metazoa; Chordata; Mammalia; Perissodactyla; Equidae
Exons: 3
Source: RefSeq, a predicted model, not a curated record
GAGGAUGCUCUCCGCUGGCCCGAGUCUCCCUCCAGACGUCGUCAGGGCACUUAAGAAAGCAUCACCAGGUGAUUCUCAGUGGCCCUGAGUGCUCCACCAAAAGCCGUCUCCCAGGGGAAAUGAGUCCCAGCCUGGGCAGCUCUGGCUGGGAGCUCUCAGAGCCCAAGCUGGGGGCUCUGAAGCUGGUGACCUCUCCGUGGGUCUCUGUGAUUGCAGAGGGAAGAGAAGACCCCCCACGGGCAUCUGCCCCUCUCUAAAUUCUCCGCCCCGCCGCUCUCCACCAUAUCCUGAGGAACCGCCCGGGGACUCUCCUCCUGCCUGGUGAUCUGCUAACAAAGGGCACAGUUUUCAGUUCUAGAGUCAAAAGAGCUGGACUGGCCACAACAUCUGGCUGCCCUCCCUUGGAUUCCAUCCUGUAAGAGCACUGUGUUUCGUCCCCUCCAGUAUGGAGAAAAAUAUCCCAUCCCAGAGUUGCUGCGGGCAUCAAACAGGGCAAGAUGUGUAUGGAGAAAUUGAGACUCAGAGAUGAAGAGUUUGCCCAAGAUGCUCACACGGUAGAGAGGCUGGAGGGAGGUCAUAAAUCCCACCUGAGAACCAGCCUCCCACCAGGCCCCGUGCUUCACUGGCAGCACAGCUCUCCUGAGCGUGGAGCCGGCAGGCGGCACAGGAGACACCUGGGAGCCCCGGGGACGCUGGCCCAGCAGGGCCGGAAGACUGGGAACACCCUGGGGGGGAGCAGUGCUGUGUCGGAGGGGAGCUGUCUGCUCCAUCGACUUGUCGAUUUGAGAGGCUGCGAGGUCACAGGGACAAUGGAGGAAGUGGUGUGUCUAGACAUAUGUCAAAUUACCCGGCUACAAGAAUCCCCACCGGAAUGUGCUCCACGUAGGUAAUGACCUGGUGCUGCAUUCACCAGGGCCAGGCUGUGCAGCUCCACAGUGGGGCUGGGCAUCAGGCCUGGUCUGAGCCGGCUGUGCCACCUUCCAGCUGUGGAGCCAGGGUGGCAGUGGUGGUUUGUUUUCUUGGUUCGAACCUCCUGGGGACUCAGGGUUGUCAUCCGCAGACUGCACUGCCAGCAGCGAGCAUUUGCCGUGCCUGGCUUCCCGGCAGCAUUUACACAGCACUCGGCUUUGUGUCCUGCCUCCCGAGGUGAACGCUCCCCACCCUCCCUCGCAGGAAGGCUGGAGGUAGGGGAGGCCUCUGGUGCGGAAGGAAGCCCCAUGAAGAGGCGGGCUCCGGCUGGGCGGCGGGGGAGGCUCCGGCUCCAGGGGCAGCCGUGGCAAGCUUUCCAUCACUACUGCCCAGUGCUGGCCUUCACUGCGAUAUCAUCGCCCGGAGGCCUCGGCAGGCAGCCAGCACUGCUGCUGGUUGCAGUGCCCCCGGGCCUGUCUCCAGCCCUCCAAGAGCAUUGGGGAGUGAAAUUCCUAAAUAAAUUCCCCUUCUGCAUAACCUUGCUCAGGUGGGUUCUGCUACUUGCAACCAUAAAGCCGGACUUACCCACUGUCUCCCAAGGUCACUCCAAAGCUUAAAUGAGAUACUGAUUGUAAAUUGCUCAGCAUGGCGCUCAGCACAUAGUGGGAUGAAUGCAUAGCUGUUGAGUGAAUGAAAGAAUGAAUUCAUGGAAAGCACGUGGCAGGGCAUUUUGCACCUAAUAAUCACUUACUGACUAUGUGUUAUUGUGACUGUGACUAUUAUUUAUAAAAUAAUAACAAUUCAGCCUUGAAAAUAGCCACCAGCCUAUGUGCCUCUGGGCAGCCAAAGAAAAUGCAUAACCGUGGUGAUCGCUGGGGCCGAUGCCCCUCUUCCAGGCCAGGCUGUGUAAAAUUGCAUCUCUCCGUGCCCUUGAGCUGAGGCCAAUUAAACGUGUGCGGAAGUGACAGAUCUUCUGAUUGGGAGUUUCCAGUCCAGGGGGUGACCUGCCAUGACUUUGCCGGUGCGGCUGGUGAGGUGUGCGUGGUGGUGGAGUCAGGAGAGCAGGGCUUCCAGGCCACACCCUGUAGGGACACACGGCUUGGGAGAGAAACAAGCGUUUGUUGUCUUCCGCCACCAAGUGUUGUCGUGGCAGCAAACCUCGUCCAUCCUGAGGGAUGGAGGGACCCCAAGGAAGACAGCACAGCAGGCUGGAGGGCCUCAACCUUUGUCCAGCAAGCCGUUCCUUCUCUCCUGUCCACGUGGGUCUUGAAUGGGAAUCUGCUUCCGGUUUGCCUCUACUGCGAUGUCUGUGUUCUCUCUGCCGAUUUGCUGACCCACAACAGAAGGAGCUGGGGUGGGGGCGGCUCUGAUGGGAACUGAACGCAGCCAGCGAAAAUGCCCUGAACCGGGCUUCUCGUCUGCCUCCUGCAGCCCUUGUAAAGCUCUCAGGAUAAACCUUCCUCUGUUUUAUCCACAUUAAGAGGGGUCUUCUUUGGCCGUCUGUGGGGGCUUGCGUGGGACUCAGGGUGGCAUCAAGUAGGACCUGCAUCCCUUUAGAGUGUUAUUUUUGUUGUGAGCGAAAAACGUUUGUUCACGAGAAAUUUGGCUACUGAAAACGGCUGGUGCAGAUAAAUGAACGGCUCUCUCUGCUGGAUGUUUUCGGCCUAUUCCAGAUGUGUCAACUUGCAGGCAAACAGGGUGUUCUCUCCUACACUGCUGACCAUGUGGCCAGCGGGUUGGAGAGUUGACAUGGCAAUGUCACACGGGUGCCGACAGAGCUCUCUGUGACCGCCACUCAUCUCGGACAAGGUUCUGACAGAAUGGCAGAAUCAGUGAGCCCGUCACAGUGAGUCAUUCACUCCGUGCCUCGGUGGCGUCGUGGACCGACUCUUGACUGUCCUGGACAGUGCACGAGGAGAGCGAGUGCAUCGACCGUGUGCGUUUGUUGAAUGCUUGUGGGGAUCUGAAAAAACGGACUUCAACCGCGUUUGGGGAAAUGUAUGUUUGGGAAUUUUCCAUACCAACAAACCACAUGGCCAGUGGGCAGUAGCCGUCAUGCUGCUGCAGCCUGUGGGUCUUUGAAGCCAAAGAAGGGAUCAAAAGCAAAAGUCUGUCACAGUGAAGAGUGGAUGCUGACCGGUGGGAGACCUUGUCAACCUUGGUCCCUCGGCACCAUUUUUUGUGCACCUCUGGCUUCUCCCGUCAACCUGCUCCCCCCGGAGUCUUUCUGGUCUCAGAAAAUGACUGCCGUCUCCCUCCUUCCCACAGUUCAGAUCUGAAAGCUUGAAGGUGCCCCAGCUACUGUGUUUUGCUCACAUCUCACACCCGUGCGUCAGGAAACCCCGGUCAGCUCCAUCUUCGAAAUCGGUCUGGAACCCCUCUCUUCUCGUCACCCGCACAGCUGCACCUCGGCCCAGUCGUCACGUCCCCUGGACUGUUGCAGUCACCUCCUCACUGACGGUUAACCCCUCCCGACAGUGCAUUCUCACGUGGGAGCGAGACGUCCAGCCUGCUGCCCGAACUGAGCAUCGCAUGUGAGCAUAUGGUCAGUGCUUCGUAAGGAUUCAUCUUUGACCCCACGGAACCCUCCAUCACAGAAGCACAGGGUGAGAUGGGUCUUCAAGGUCACCUUCCCCUCCUGUGGAACAUCCUGGGAGGGUGUUUGCCUGGAUUAUCUCCAGUACUAGGGACUCACUCCCCAGAGGUGUCUCCAACUUCAAGGGGUCUCUGUUGCUUUAUAUUCAACUAGAAUUUUCCACUUAACUCCACUCAUGGCUUCCAACUUUGCUCUCAGAGGAGAUGCCAUCUUCAGUUCCCCGGUUAUAGAAGCCCUGGGGUGGCUCUGGGCCCGGGAGGGUCUGCUCUGUUUCACAGGUGAGGACACCGAGGUGGGACAAAGCCAUCUGGGUGGUGACUCAAUGUUCUGCUAAGAUCGUAGAGGCCAGGUUCAAAACCACACCACGCCCGUUCCCAGACAUCAACACCAUAGCGGAGCAGGUCUCUGUGCAAGCUCUCAGCACCUACGUUCUCACCGCCUCCCACUGUGGUCUGCUACGGGGUGUGGGGCUACGGAGGUGGAAGACACAGGCCCUACCCCUACAGGGCCCCCAGCCUGGUUGGGGAGGCUAACGGGAGUGGAAGGUGAGCAGGUCACUUGGAGAACAAGGAGGAAGUGAAUGUGAUCUGGCCUGGGAGCAUCAUGGACGGUUCCCUGGAGUCGGUGAUAUCAACAUCCUCAACCUCCCUUGAUGGAUGGGGGAUCCCCCUGCUUCCAAGCAAGGAGCCAGCUCCCUCAAGUAUUCAUGCACGGGGUCCUAUGCACGCGAUCGCCCUGCAGGUGGCGUUGCCCUUGGCCUGAAGAAGGCGACGUGAAAUAGUGCCCUCAGGGGGGUGAGAUGCUCUAACCCUAGAUGUUGGUGGCGGCUGCACAGCUCUGGGAAUAUACAAACAUUGACUUGUACG